AACAGCCGCGGUAAUUCCAGCUCCAAUAGCGUAUAUUAAAGUUGUUGCAGUUAAAAAGCUCGUAGUUGAAUUUCGGGGUCAGCAGGUUGGUCGUGCCAAUGGUAUGCACUGGCCUUGCUGAUUCCUCCCUCUUGAUGAGCCGUAAUGUCAUUAAUUUGGUGUUGCGGGGAAUCAGGACUGUUACUUUGAAAAAAUUAGAGUGUUUAAAGCAGGCAAGCGCUUGAAUACAUUAGCAUGGAAUAAUGAAAUAGGACGUUUGAUCCUAUUUUGUUGGUUUCUAGGAUUGACGUAAUGAUUAAUAGGGAUAGUUGGGGGCAUUAGUAUUCAAUUGUCAGAGGUGAAAUUCUUGGAUUUAUUGAAGACUAACUACUGCGAAAGCAUUUGCCAAGGAUGUUUUCAUUAAUCAAGAACGAAAGUUAGGGGAUCGAAGACGAUCAGAUACCGUCGUAGUCUUAACCAUAAACUAUGCCGACUAGGAUCGGAUGAUGUUAAUUUUUUAAUGUACUCU
RNAcentral lists this ribosomal RNA (508 nucleotides) under uncultured Glomus. RNAcentral's name for it is "SSU rRNA". It matches the Rfam family "Eukaryotic small subunit ribosomal RNA", at positions 569 to 1082 of the family's 1831-position model. The record is from RNAcentral. Lineage: Eukaryota; Fungi; Glomeromycota; Glomeromycetes; Glomerales; Glomeraceae.